Molecule: long non-coding RNA, 1478 nt
Filed under: Homo sapiens (human)
Lineage: Eukaryota; Metazoa; Chordata; Mammalia; Primates; Hominidae
Description: HSALNT0201001
Source: RNAcentral
GUAAGACAGCCAAUGACUUGAUUCCUCCUUCCUCCCUAUCCCUCUUCCACUUCCCCGAUCCCACUCCCAGCCUUUUACCCCAUAGUUUCCCAGUCAGCCCUUCUCCAGUGGGCUUUUACUUUUAAUUUGGCAGCUUGCUCUCUGAUUCUCCUUUGCCUUCCAUAAAGAAACCAUGACUAAACCAUUAGCACUCCAUUCUCCUCCCAGUGUCAACCUGCACCUGGGCCUUGUCUUUCACUUCUGCUAGUGCCAGUGGUAUUCACUCCAGUUAAUUUCUCAGGGUGACUCCAUUCCCGAGCCCUGGCUAUUUUACCUACCCUCCCUGUCACCUGUCCACCCUUGAAAUUCAUUCUUCUGAUGUAGCACGAACUGGGCUUAAUGCAGAUCCCUGCUUGUCUUCCCUAAGCGGCACGCCCCUUCUCCCUUACAGGGCCCUGAACAGCAGCGAGAAACACAGAAAGCUUUGGGCAGUUUGUUCUUGCUGAUCUAUUGUAUUAGAGGGUGGGACCAGGAGUAAAGCAGAAAUAGCUGGGAACAGUGAAACCUGUAUCUAAAUAAAUAAGCCAACGGCUAAGCUAACGAUAUUCCAUCUCUCAUGCGGAGUCACAGUUGGCCAGUGAAUAUUAGUUUACUUUUACUUGCUGCGUACUCACUGGUGGAGAAUGAGCAAGGCUUGGGUUGAGGAGAUGUAGGCAGAGGGGAACAUAAAGGCAAAGGGGGUGGAGAAUCUAUAAACCAGACAGACAGGCCUUAACUAUGCUGUGUUGUGCUCAUUUCCUGGCCCUGCUGAAUCAUCCCACCGCCACACAGGGAACAUGGUUGGGAUGUGAAGAGCUCCUUUAACAUGGCACAGAGUCUGGUGACUGGAAGGUCUAGAAGUAUAUCAGAGGAAAGGAAAAAUUAAUGGAUAAUGACCAGAUUUUACAUCCACCUAAUGGCUUGGAAUGUUCCAGUGCCAAGAGAAGGCCUUCUUGUCGCAUGUGAUUUCAUAAUAAUUAGGGCCAGCUGUGUCUGUGCGAAUCAGGUCAAGCCAGAUGCCAAACCCUAACUCAAACACUUACAGGAAGAUCCUCAUUGCCAGGAGCCUCAAACGUCCUGCAGAAAAUCAAAAAAAGAUCCCAGUCUCUUCAGUGGCACUCAACUUUUUCAAGUCACAAGAUGGAAGCGCUUUGGAAGAGGAGUAAAGGACCUGGACUCUGAUUCCAUGCCACCGCAAACUCGGGCAGGCACUUCAAAGCAGAGAGUCUCAUUUUCCACUUCUGAAAAACACAUGGUCUAGAUGAGCUCUAAGUCCUUUGCACUCAAUAAUUUCACAGUCUUUUUUAUUAUUAAUAUUAUUUUCAAUUGAAAAAUCAUAAUUGUAUAUUUAUGGGGUACAAUGUGAUGUUUUGAUAUAUGUAUUCAAUAAGGAAUUAUUAAAUCAAGAUAAUUAACAUAUCCAUCAUCUCACUUGCCUAUCAUUUAAAAAAAUUUGCCUA